RNAcentral lists this ribosomal RNA (946 nucleotides) under uncultured bacterium. RNAcentral's name for it is "bacterial SSU rRNA". It matches the Rfam family "Bacterial small subunit ribosomal RNA", at positions 448 to 1397 of the family's 1533-position model. The record is from RNAcentral.
ANCCCCCCGACGNGUCGGGGGCUGACGGUACCGUAUGAAUNAGCAUCGGCUAANUCCGUGCCAGCAGCCGCGGUAAUACGGAGGAUGCAAGCGUUAUCCGGAUUUAUUGGGUUUAAAGGGUGCGUAGGCGGGAGAUUAAGUCAGUGGUGAAAUCCUGCAGCUUAACUGCAGAACUGCCAUUGAUACUGGUUUCCUUGAGUACAGUUGAGGUGGGCGGAAUGUGUAGUGUAGCGGUGAAAUGCUUAGAUAUUACACAGAACACCAAUUGCGUAGGCAGCUCACUAAACUGUUACUGACGCUGAGGCACGAAAGCGUGGGGAGCAAACAGGAUUAGAUACCCUGGUAGUCCACGCUGUAAACGAUGAUCACUCGUUGUUGGCGAUAUACAGUCAGCGACUGAGCGAAAGCAUUAAGUGAUCCACCUGGGGAGUACGAUCGCAAGAUUGAAACUCAAAGGAAUUGACGGGGGCCCGCACAAGCGGAGGAACAUGUGGUUUAAUUCGAUGAUACGCGAGGAACCUUACCUGGGCUUAAAUGCAGUAUGACUUCCGCCGAAAGGUGGAUUCCCUUUGGGGCAGAUUGCAAGGUGCUGCAUGGUUGUCGUCAGCUCGUGCCGUGAGGUGUCGGGUUAAGUCCCAUAACGAGCGCAACCCCUAUCGUUAGUUGCCAGCGAGUAAUGUCGGGGACUCUAGCGAAACUGCCGGUGUAAACCGUGAGGAAGGUGGGGAUGACGUCAAAUCAGCACGGCCCUUAUGUCCAGGGCUACACACGUGUUACAAUGGCCGGUACAAAGGGUAGCUACUUGGUGACAGGAUGCUAAUCUCUAAAGCCGGUCUCAGUUCGGAUCGAAGUCUGCAACUCGACUUCGUGAAGGUGGAUUCGCUAGUAAUCGCGCAUCAGCAACGGCGCGGUGAAUACGUUCCCGGGCCUUGUACACACCGCCCGU